RNAcentral lists this ribosomal RNA (253 nucleotides) under uncultured bacterium. RNAcentral's name for it is "partial 16S ribosomal RNA". It matches the Rfam family "Bacterial small subunit ribosomal RNA", at positions 524 to 776 of the family's 1533-position model. The record is from RNAcentral.
UACGAAGGGGGCUAGCGUUGCUCGGAAUCACUGGGCGUAAAGGGUGCGUAGGCGGGUCUUUAAGUCAGGGGUGAAAUCCUGGAGCUCAACUCCAGAACUGCCUUUGAUACUGAGGAGCUUGAGUUCGGGAGAGGUGAGUGGAACUGCGAGUGUAGAGGUGAAAUUCGUAGAUAUUCGCAAGAACACCAGUGGCGAAGGCGGCUCACUGGCCCGGUACUGACGCUGAGGUGCGGAAGCGUGGGGAGCAAACAGG